GAUGAACGCUGGCGGCGUGCUUAACACAUGCAAGUCGAACGGACAGGCCCUGCUUUUGCGGGUUGCUUGUGUGGCGCACGGGUGAGUAACACGCGAGUAAACUGCCCCUGUCUUUGGGAUAACUCCAGGAAACUGGGGCUAUUACCGGAUAGGAGCUUCUGAUGCACAGUGGGGGAUGGUAAGUUUCGGCGGUUGGGGAUGGACUCGAGGCUUCUGCGCUUGUUUGUGGAGUUGUGGCUGACCAAGGCUUUGAAGGAUAGCAGGCCUGGGAGGGUGACCGGCCACAAUGGGACUGAGAUACGGCCCAGACGCCUACGGGACGCAGCAGGCGAGAACAUUGCACAGUAAGGGGAAGCCAGAUGCAACAACGCCGCGUGCGGGAUGACGUCCUUCGGGUGAUAAACCGCUUUCGCAGGUAACGAAGCGUGAGUGACGGUAAUGAGUAAGAAAGCACCGGCUAACUACGUG
This 468-nucleotide ribosomal RNA is filed under the name uncultured bacterium. RNAcentral's name for it is "partial 16S ribosomal RNA". It matches the Rfam family "Bacterial small subunit ribosomal RNA", at positions 28 to 507 of the family's 1533-position model. The record is from RNAcentral.